GUGAGGAAUAUUGGUCAAUGGGCGCAAGCCUGAACCAGCCAUGCCGCGUGCAGGAAGAAGCAUCUAUGGUGUGUAAACUGCUUUUAUACAGGAAGAAACAUCCCCACGUGUGGGGACUUGACGGUACUGUAGGAAUAAGGAUCGGCUAACUCCGUGCCAGCAGCCGCGGUAAUACGGAGGAUCCAAGCGUUAUCCGGAAUCAUUGGGUUUAAAGGGUCCGUAGGCGGUCUUAUAAGUCAGUGGUGAAAGCCCAUCGCUCAACGAUGGAACUGCCAUUGAUACUGUAAGACUUGAAUUUUUGUGAAGUAACUAGAAUAUGUAGUGUAGCGGUGAAAUGCUUAGAUAUUACAUGGAAUACCAAUUGCGAAGGCAGGUUACUAACAAACGAUUGACGCUGAUGGACGAAAGCGUGGGGAGCGAACAGGAUUAGAAACCCGUGUAGUCC
This 445-nucleotide ribosomal RNA is filed under the name uncultured bacterium. RNAcentral describes it as "partial 16S ribosomal RNA". It matches the Rfam family "Bacterial small subunit ribosomal RNA", at positions 354 to 796 of the family's 1533-position model. The record is from RNAcentral.